AUGUGUCAGGGCACACACAAACACCCACACACGCGUGGUCACACGCAGCUCCGUGUCAGGGCACACACACACACACGUGUGGUCCCACACAAUGACACGCGUGUCCCCGCCGCUCUCCUCCUUGUCAGGGCACACACACACACACGCGUGUUCACACGCCAUGACAUGCGUGUCCCUGACUCUUUCCCCCGUCUCAGGGCACACACACACACACACACGCGUGCGCGCGGUCACACACGCAAUGACAUGCGUGUCCCUGACUCUUUCCCCCGUCUCAGGGCACACACAUGGUUCUCACACACACACGUGUGUUCACACACCAUGACACGCGUGUCCCCGACUCUUUCCCCCGUCUCAGGGCACACACGUGGAUCUCACACACACACACACAGGUGGUCACACACCAUGACACACGUGUCCCCACCACUCUCCCCCGUCUCAGGGCACAGACACACACACACACGCGUGUUCACACACAAUGACACACAUGUCCCUGACUCUUUCCCCCGUCUCAGGGCACACACACACACACACACACACACACACCAUGACACGCGUGUCCCCGACUCUUUCCCCCGUCUCAGGGCACACAGACACACACACGCGUGUUCACUCGCCAUGACACGCGUGUCCCCGCCGCUCUCCCCCAUCUCAGGGCACACACACACACACACUUGUUCACACGCCAUGACACGCGUGCCCCUGACUCUUUCUCCCAUCUCAGGGCACACACACACACGCACACGCCAUGACACGCGUGUCCCCGACUCUUUCCCCCGUCUCAGGGCACACACGUGGGUCUCACUUACACACACACACAUGGGUCUCACACACACACACAUGGGUCUCACUUACACACACACACGUGGGUCUCACUUACACGUGGGUCUCACUUACACACGUGGGUCUCACUUUCACACACACAUGUGUAUCUCACUUUCACACACACGUGGGUCUCACUUUCACACACACACGUGGGUCUCACUUUCACACACACACGUGGGUCUCACUUUCACACACACGUGGGUCUCACUUUCACACACGUGGGUCUCACUUUCACACACACAUGUGUAUCUCACUUUCACACACACACGUGGGUGUCACUUUCACACACACAUGUGGGUCUCACACACGUGGGUCUCACUUUCACACACACAUGUGGGUCUCACACACACGUGGGUCUCACACACACACACGUGGGUCUUACACACACACACGUGUAUCUCACUUUCACACACGUGGGUCUCACUUUCACACACACACACGCAUGUUCACACGCCAUGACACGCAUGUCCCUGCCGCUCUCCCCCGUCUCAGGGCACACACACACACACACACAUGCGCGCAUGUUCACACGCCAUGACAUGCGUGUCCCCGCCGCUCUGCCCCGUCUCAGGGCACACACGUGGGUCUCACACACACACACGUGGGUCUCACACACACACAUGUGGGUCUCACUUUCACACACACAUGGGUCUCACUUACACACGUGAGUCUCACUUUCACACA
RNAcentral lists this long non-coding RNA (1509 nucleotides) under Numida meleagris (helmeted guineafowl). Its description in RNAcentral is "lncRNA (ENSNMEG00000002559.1)". The record is from RNAcentral. Lineage: Eukaryota; Metazoa; Chordata; Aves; Galliformes; Numididae.